Molecule: ribosomal RNA, 251 nt
Filed under: uncultured bacterium
Lineage: Bacteria
Description: partial 16S ribosomal RNA
Rfam family: Bacterial small subunit ribosomal RNA
Source: RNAcentral
CACUGGUGGCGACCGGCGCACGGGUGAGUAACACGUGUGCAACCAACCCCGUACCGGGAGAUAACCCGCGGAAACGUGGACUAACAUCCCAUGAGACUCUAGAUCCGCAUGGCUCUAGAUUUAAAAUUCCGGUGGUACGGGACGGGCACGCGCGACAUUAGGUAGUUGGCGGGGUAACGGCCCACCAAGCCGACGAUGUCUAGGGGUUCUGAGAGGAAGGUCCCCCACACUGGAACUGAGACACGGUCCAG